This 499-nucleotide ribosomal RNA is filed under the name uncultured bacterium. Its description in RNAcentral is "partial 16S ribosomal RNA". It matches the Rfam family "Bacterial small subunit ribosomal RNA", at positions 28 to 507 of the family's 1533-position model. The record is from RNAcentral.
GACGAACGCUGGCGGCGUGCUUAACACAUGCAAGUCGAACGGGCCCGCUCUCUUUUUUGGGGGUGGGUUGAGUGGCGAACGGGUGAGUAUCACGUGAGUAACCUGCCCCCUGCUCCUGGAUAACUGCUUGAAAGGGCGGCUAAUACGGGGUGUGCCGGCUGGUCCGCAUGGGCCUGGUCGGGAUAGUUUCAUCUUCGGGUGUUUCGGUGGGGGAUGGGCUCGCGGCCUAUCAGCUUGUUGGUGGGGUGAUGGCCCACCAAGGCGGUGACGGGUAGCCGGCCUGAGAGGGUGGGCGGCCACACUGGGACUGAGACACGGCCCAGACUCCUGCGGGAGGCAGCAGUGGGGGGUAUGGCACAAUGGGCGGAAGCCUGAGGCAGCGACGUCGCGUGAGGGAUGGAGGCCUUCGGGUUGGGAACCUCUUUCACCGGUGGUGAAGGCCCUGUCCGUUGCGGCGGGGUUGACGGUAGCCGGGGAUGAAGCGCCGGCUAACUACGUG